Molecule: long non-coding RNA, 170 nt
Organism: Microtus ochrogaster (prairie vole)
Lineage: Eukaryota; Metazoa; Chordata; Mammalia; Rodentia; Cricetidae
Source: RefSeq, a predicted model, not a curated record
GUUUUCAGAGGAAGAAAGGAAACAGUGGCUGGAGGCCCUGGGUGGAAAAGAAGCUCUCAUCCAUACUUGUAAUAAAGCCAUCAUUCCAAGACCAGAAGGAGGUGCACAGCUGGAUACAAUGGGAUUCACGAUUCUCAGAAAGUGCAUCAGUGCUGUUGAGACACGAGGUA